GACGAACGCUGGCGGCGUGCCUAAUACAUGCAAGUAGAACGCUGAAGGAGGAGCUUGCUUCUCCGGAUGAGUUGCGAACGGGUGAGUAACGCGUAGGUAACCUGCCUGGUAGCGGGGGAUAACUAUUGGAAACGAUAGCUAAUACCGCAUAACAGUAGAUGUUGCAUGACAUUUGCUUAAAAGGUGCAAUUGCAUCACUACCAGAUGGACCUGCGUUGUAUUAGCUAGUUGGUGAGGUAACGGCUCACCAAGGCGACGAUACAUAGCCGACCUGAGAGGGUGAUCGGCCACACUGGGACUGAGACACGGCCCAGACUCCUACGGGAGGCAGCAGUAGGGAAUCUUCGGCAAUGGACGGAAGGCUGACCGAGCAACGCCGCGUGAGUGAAGAAGGUUGUCGGAUCGUAAAGCUCGGUUGUAAGAGAAGAACGAGUGUGAGAGUGGAAAGUUCACACUGUGACGGUAUCUUACCAGAAAGGGACGGCUAACUACGUG
RNAcentral lists this ribosomal RNA (495 nucleotides) under uncultured bacterium. Its description in RNAcentral is "partial 16S ribosomal RNA". It matches the Rfam family "Bacterial small subunit ribosomal RNA", at positions 28 to 507 of the family's 1533-position model. The record is from RNAcentral.